Non-coding RNA from Pelobates cultripes (western spadefoot toad), 209 nucleotides. The record is from the annotation of a GenBank genome assembly. NCBI's taxonomy places the organism in Eukaryota, Metazoa, Chordata, Amphibia, Anura, Pelobatidae.
CGGUUUGUAACUGUGGUCACAAAAAUCAAUGUUCUGGGAUCAACGGGAAGCAGCUCCAUUUUUUUUGAGGGCCCUUUACACAGCUCAAGGUCUGGGUCCCAGGGUCCACCUUCAUGUUCCACCAAUGAGUUUGUUCACAGGGGGUGGAGUGUGUGUGUGGGGGGGAUGUCCUGAUGUGUGUAAGGAAUGCAUUGUGUGAAUCUGUGUUU